This 293-nucleotide ribosomal RNA is filed under the name uncultured Planctomycetota bacterium. Its description in RNAcentral is "uncultured planctomycete partial 16S ribosomal RNA". Lineage: Bacteria; Pseudomonadati; Planctomycetota. The record is from RNAcentral.
GGACUACUGGGGUUUCUAAUCCCGUUCGCUCCCCUGGCUUUCGCGUCUCAGCGUCAGUAAGGGUCCAGGAGCUCGCUUUCGCCACGGGCGUUCCUUCCGAUCUCAACGCAUUUCACCGCUCCACCGGAAGUUCCAGCUCCCCCUACCCCCCUCCAGGAAGGUCGUAUCGGUGCCCGUUCCCCGGUUGAGCCGGGGGAUUUCAGCAACCGACGUGCCCUCCCGCCUACACGCGCUUUAAGCCCAGUGAUUCCGAAUAACGUUCGCACGGUUCGUCUUACCGCGGCUGCUGGCAC